This 75-nucleotide transfer RNA is filed under the name Cyclobacteriaceae bacterium. Its description in RNAcentral is "tRNA-Ile". It matches the Rfam family "tRNA". Rfam says of the family: Transfer RNA (tRNA) molecules are approximately 80 nucleotides in length. The record is from RNAcentral. Lineage: Bacteria; Pseudomonadati; Bacteroidota; Cytophagia; Cytophagales; Cyclobacteriaceae.
GGGCCGGUAGCUCAAUGGCAGAGCAAGUCGCUCAUAACGACAGGGUUACAGGUUCGAAUCCUGUCCGGCCCACCA